AGAAUUAUUCGUUAAUCCCCCAUCUUAGAGGCAAUUCCAUUCCAGAAAAAUCUCGAUCGAUCCGCUAUCCCCCCGCCCCAUCUCGGAGAAGCUCCUUGUUUCUCUCUCGCUUUCUUGGCCGCAGGCGUCCUCGACCUCCAAACCCAGCCAUGGCGAUCGUCGUCUCCUCCAUCGCCGUCUCGCUCCGAAACCCUAACCCUAACCCCACCGCCUUCCUGCCACCCAAACCCCUCACCUCUGCCCCGUCUCUACUCCGCCUCCCCCGCCGCCUUCCCCCUCCCAACUCCCUCCAUCUCCGCCUCUCCCCGCACUCCAAAUCCCUCGUCGUCUCAUCCUCCCUCGCCCCUCCCGCGCCGCCGUCCCCCACCCUCCUCUCCGACUCCACCCGCACCCUCUCCUCCCUGCUCGCCCUCGCCCUCUCCGUCUCCAAGCUCGUCCUGUCCCUUCCCGCCCGUAUCGCCGCCGCCGCCGCCCGGGCAGCCCCAUCUACGUCGGAGCUCGCGGAGAUCCGGGACCUCCGGGGGAGCCUCGCCUGCGCUGUGGGGCCUCUCUUCUUCGCCGCCCUCAAGGACCGGCCCAGCGGGUACCUCAACACACCGCUAACCGUGGUCGCCUCGGGCAUGGCCAAGUGGCUCGACAUCUACAGCGGUGUCCUCAUGGUUAGGGUCCUUCUCAGCUGGUUCCCAAACAUCCCCUGGGACCGCCAGCCGUUGUCGGCCAUUAGGGACCUCUGCGACCCUUACCUCAAUCUCUUCAGGAACAUAAUUCCGCCGGUGUUUGAUACCCUCGAUGUGAGCCCACUUCUUGCUUUCGCCGUCUUGGGAACUCUUGGUUCGAUUCUUAACAACAGCCGAGGAAUGUAUUGAAGGAGAGCUGGGCAAAGAAGGAAGAAAAUCAUCCAUAAAUGACACAUCUGAUCCUCCAUCGGAGGUGUGAACCCUAUACAUGCAUCUCUUGGAGCAGUGCAGCAGUACAACCAAGAUCUGUUGCUUGCAAACUUUGAUUUCUCAACAUGUCUGUCAUGUUUCUUCUUAUUUCAGUGAAAAUGGUGAUAAUUGGUGCUAUUGUACUUGCUGGCUGUUCGUUGCUGGUGAUCUAUACAUGCAGUUUCAAAGGGAAUGAAAAAGGAAAAGAAAAGGCGAUGAUCUACAGGUGGAACAAUCCGAUCAUCUUUAUUUGCAUGUGCGCAUUUUUGAACAAGUUUGAUGCUAAAUAGAGACAUAUAGGUUAUAGUAGAAAUAACUCUGUAAUCUUUCUUUGUUUGACCUACUAUAUUUCUAUCUGGUAAUGGUUUUCGACUUUUCCAGCAUUAAUCUGGUACUUCUGAACAUAAGGGAAAGAAGUUUCUUGUUGACAUGCUCUGUAGUCACCGUGUCAAGAAUGUGAGUUAUUUGGUGUUCCAAA
Elaeis guineensis (African oil palm) is the source of this 1404-nucleotide RNA transcript. It is a transcript of the gene named ylmG homolog protein 1-2, chloroplastic, with no coding region annotated. Lineage: Eukaryota; Viridiplantae; Streptophyta; Magnoliopsida; Arecales; Arecaceae. The record is from RefSeq and is a predicted model, not a curated record.